AUGAUGCAGCGACCUCUUCUGGACAUGUUCCCGGUGCGGCCCCUAGGCUUUGAAGCCUCGCCCACUCCGCCUCUCCAGUGCAACGGCAACCUGCAGCGAACCCCUUCGCCAACCCGUGCUUGCCUUGUUGAUGCUGGACACGACCUUCCCGCUGGCUUGGCAGAGCUCGUUGUGCCCUGUCUAGAGCUUCCAGCAACGCUCUUCUGCUCAAAACAGCCGACGCUCCUGCCGCUCACUUCUGUGCAACCUUCUGAAGCACCCAUGGCAUGA
Molecule: ribosomal RNA, 270 nt
Filed under: Triticum aestivum (bread wheat)
Lineage: Eukaryota; Viridiplantae; Streptophyta; Magnoliopsida; Poales; Poaceae
Description: partial small subunit ribosomal RNA
Source: RNAcentral